This 471-nucleotide ribosomal RNA is filed under the name uncultured bacterium. Its description in RNAcentral is "bacterial SSU rRNA". It matches the Rfam family "Bacterial small subunit ribosomal RNA", at positions 28 to 524 of the family's 1533-position model. The record is from RNAcentral.
GACGAACGCUGGCGGCGUGCUUAACACAUGCAAGUCGAACGAUGAAGCCUUCGGGUGGAUUAGUGGCGAACGGGUGAGUAACACGUGGGUAAUCUGCCCUGCACUCUGGGAUAAGCCUUGGAAACGGGGUCUAAUACCGGAUAUCACACUUCUAGGCAUCUAGUGGUGUUGAAAGUUUUGGCGGUGCAGGAUGAACCCGCGGCCUAUCAGCUUGUUGGUGGGGUAAUGGCCACCAAGGCGACGAUCAGUAGCUGGUCUGAGAGGAUGAUCAGCCACAUUGGGACUGAGACACGGCCCAAACUCCUACGGGAGGCAGCAGUGGGGAAUAUUGGACAAUGGGCGAAAGCCUGAUCCAGCCAUGCCGCGUGAGUGAUGAAGGCCCUAGGGUUGUAAAGCUCUUUUGUGCGGGAAGAUAAUGACGGUACCGCAAGAAUAAGCCCCGGCUAACUUCGUGCCAGCCGCCGCGGUAAU